RNAcentral lists this ribosomal RNA (253 nucleotides) under uncultured bacterium. Its description in RNAcentral is "partial 16S ribosomal RNA". It matches the Rfam family "Bacterial small subunit ribosomal RNA", at positions 524 to 776 of the family's 1533-position model. The record is from RNAcentral.
UACAUAGACUGCAAGCGUUAUUCGGAUUCACUGGGCGUAAAGGGUGCGCAGGCGGCUAAGUGUGUCAGAUGUGAAAUCCCGAGGCUCAACCUCGGAACUGCGUCUGAAACUACUUGGCUAGAGUAUUGGAGAGGGUAACGGAAUUCACGGUGUAGCAGUGAAAUGCGUAGAUAUCGUGAGGAACACCAGAGGCGAAGGCGGUUACCUGGACAAUUACUGACGCUCAGGCACGAAAGCGUGGGGAGCAAAAGGG